CCUACGGGGGGCAGCAGUAAGGAAUAUUGCGCAAUGGACGAAAGUCUGACGCAGCAACGCCGCGUGCAGGACGACGGCCCUUUGGGUUGUAAACUGCUGUAGCAGGGGAAUAAUGGCCACCAUGGGUGGUUUGAAGGUACCCUGAAAGUAAGCGCCGGCUAACUACGUGCCAGCAGCCGCGGUAAUACGUAGGGCGCAAGCGUUGUCCGGAUUCACUGGGUGUAAAGGGUGCGCAGGCGGAUGGGUAAGUCAGGGGUGAAAUCUCACAGCUCAACUGUGAAACUGCCUUUGAUACUGCCGAUCUUGAGUACGGGAGAGGUUGAUGGAAUUCCAGGUGUAGCGGUGAAAUGCGUAGAUAUCUGGAAGAACACCGGUGGCGAAGGCGGUCAACUGGCCCGGAACUGACGCUCAGGCACGAAAGCGUGGGGAGCAAACAGGAU
RNAcentral lists this ribosomal RNA (440 nucleotides) under uncultured bacterium. Its description in RNAcentral is "bacterial SSU rRNA". It matches the Rfam family "Bacterial small subunit ribosomal RNA", at positions 338 to 778 of the family's 1533-position model. The record is from RNAcentral.